Molecule: small nucleolar RNA, 136 nt
Organism: Phragmites australis (common reed)
Lineage: Eukaryota; Viridiplantae; Streptophyta; Magnoliopsida; Poales; Poaceae
Product: small nucleolar RNA Z247
Exons: 1
Source: RefSeq, a predicted model, not a curated record
ACAUUGGAGGAUGAAGAGUUGAUCGCAUACAUGUUGUGUGGCCUCAGCACCGAGUACGACUCAUUGGUGACAAGCAUCAGCACACACAGAUCAAUACACCAUCAGUGAUGUGUACGCACAUAUGCUGAGUUUGAAA